RNAcentral lists this long non-coding RNA (2044 nucleotides) under Gossypium raimondii (Peruvian cotton). RNAcentral's name for it is "long non-coding RNA (GRAI_LNC004824)". Lineage: Eukaryota; Viridiplantae; Streptophyta; Magnoliopsida; Malvales; Malvaceae. The record is from RNAcentral.
AAUUUCUCAACACUUAUAUGAAAUUUUCAACAAAAACCAAAUUGUGCAAGUUUGUUGCCUCCAACCAAACUAUUGCAAAAUUUCUCCAAGCAAAAUCCACUUCCAACACAUUGUUACCCCAAGCCUUGACCAAAAAGGAAUACCUUUUGUUUAUGGUUGAAAUGCUCAAUUCAAUGGACUCUGAAUCAGAAGACGAAAAGUAAAAAACAUCAUGAAUCAAAACGGUCAAUCUUGCAGAUGAAACUACAACGACGACAUUCACUAAAACUUAGAAGAAGUUAUCUACAAAAAGAAGUCUGGAAACACGAAUCAACAAACACCGGUACAAGCUCUAUAAAAUAUUCCAAAGUAGUAUGUGUCAAUGAAUAAAUUCUCUUUCAAAUUUGUUAUAGUGUGUGUUAGGGAAUAAAUUCUCCUUCAAAUUUUUCAAUAGUGUAUGCGUUGGGAAAUAGAUUCCCAAACAAGAAUAUUUUUUUUCUCAUUUGUAAUAGUUGUGUUAAGGAAUAAAUUCCCUUUCAAAUUAGUAAUAGUGUUAAGGAAUAGAUUCUCUAAUAGAAAAAGAUUCAAAUGUAUAAUAAUGUGUACCAAGGAAUAGAUUCCCGAAUAAUCUCAUUGUAAAAGAGGCAAGAGCCCUCUAUAAAAGGCUUUGAAUUGGUAAUGGUUGAGACAUGCUUUCUAUGACCGAGUCAAAGCCUUUUACAAAUACCUCUUGCCUAUUUUACAAUGACAUUAUUUGGGAAUUUAUUCCCUGAUACAUAUUAUUACAAAAUUGAUAUAUUUUUUCUAUUAAGAGAUCUAUUCCCUGACACUAUUACAAAUUUGAAAGGAAAUUUAUACCCUAAGACAACUAUAAUAAUGUGAAAAAUAUUUUCUUGUUGGGAAACUAUUCCCUGACACACUAUUGCAAAUUUGGAAGAGAAUUUAUACCCUAACACACACUAUUAAAAAUUUGAAAGGGAAUUUAUUCCUUGACACACUACUUUGGAAUCUUUCGUAGAUUUUCUACUAAUGCAUGUUGAUUUGUGUUUCUAAACUUCUUGUUUAUAUCUUAGAUCACUUCUUGGUUUUAGUGAUUGUUAACAUUGUAGUGCCAUAUGCAAGAUCCACCAUUUUGAUUGAAGUUGUUGAUGACUUUUUGUUGUCUGAAUCCAAGUCCAUUGAGCUGAGCAUUUCAACCAUAAGAUUCUGGUUUUUUUUUUGUCUUGGCUUGGGCUAAUAAUGCACUGGUAGAAUAUUGCGCUUGGAGAAUUUUUGUAGUAGUUUGGUUCAAGCAACGAACUUGCACAAUCUUGUAUUUAAAAAAAAGUAACCUAACUAUUGGGAAUUAUACUUCUCGUCAUUGAAUUUGUCCCACCAUUUUGUUCUAAAAUUUCGAACUAACAUUACGAUACCAUAGUAUUAGUUUGAGUCAUAACUAUAAUGCCAAGAUACAAUCCAUGAUAUGCAUAAAUUGGAGAAAAAAUGAAUUUGUUUUGUAGAUUUUUUUGUUUAAUCUAGUUUUGGUUGGAAUUUGAUACUGUGCCAAAUCGACAUAUUUAUGUGCUUUAUUUUGAUAAAAUUUUAGGUACGAUGUUACUAAUUUUGGUGUUUUUUGCCUAAUUUUUAUGUAGGUACAGUACAAGCCCAAAAUCUCGACAAAAAAGUGAAGAUAGUGGGUUGCAUGAAGAUUUGGGCAUAGGCACAAGAAAUUGACGUACAAAGGCUUUUUAGACUUUGGGAUUAUUUUCUAUUUUUAUUUGUAAAAAAUAUAUUUUUAGGAGUUCAAUUAAGAUUGAAUUUUAUCAUUUAUCUUUUAUUUAGAUAGAUAAAUAUUUUAUCUUAACGAGUGUUUAGGAGUAAAACUAGGCAUUUGUUUUCAGCUGAAAAAGAGGAGGUUUGAGGUUGUACCUCAAUCACUAUAAUUGACUUAUUGAUGGGUGAGAAGAUACUUAUAAUUAGUGAUCAAUUGUGAAACUGAGUCUAUCAUUACAUCGGAGGUCGGAGCUUUUAUUAAUUGAUUUUAUUCUACUUAUUUUUAAAAUUACUAUUUAUUUCUUGAUUUACU